AGUGAGGAAUAUUGGACAAUGGGCGCACAGCCUGAUCCAGCCAUGCCGCGUGCAGGAAGACGGUCCUAUGGAUUGUAAACUGCUUUUGUACGGGAAGAAACACUCCUUCGUGUAGGAGCUUGACGGUACCGUAAGAAUAAGGAUCGGCUAACUCCGUGCCAGCAGCCGCGGUAAUACGGAGGAUCCAAGCGUUAUCCGGAAUCAUUGGGUUUAAAGGGUCCGUAGGCGGUUUAGUAAGUCAGUGGUGAAAUCCCAUCGCUCAACGAUGGAACGGCCAUUGAUACUGCUAGACUUGAAUUAUAAGGAAGUAACUAGAAUAUGUAGUGUAGCGGUGAAAUGCUUAGAUAUUACAUGGAAUACCAAUUGCGAAGGCAGGUUACUACUUAUGGAUUGACGCUGAUGGACGAAAGCGUGGGGAGCGAACAGGAUUAGAUACCCUGGUAG
RNAcentral lists this ribosomal RNA (444 nucleotides) under uncultured bacterium. RNAcentral describes it as "bacterial SSU rRNA". It matches the Rfam family "Bacterial small subunit ribosomal RNA", at positions 353 to 793 of the family's 1533-position model. The record is from RNAcentral.